GUGGAUUAGAUACCCUGGUAGUCCACGCAGUAAACGAUGCAGACUAGGCGUGGGGGGACUUGACCCCCUCCGUGCCGAAGCCAACGCGUGAAGUCUGCCGCCUGGGGAGUACGGCCGCAAGGCUAAAACUCAAAGGAAUUGACGGGGGCCCGCACAAGCGGCGGAGCGUGCGGUUUAAUUCGACGCAACGCGCAGAACCUUACCAGGGUUUGACAUGCACCUGCAGAGCCGUGAAAGCGGUUGGCCUUCGAGGGUGGUGCACAGGUGCUGCACGGCUGUCGUCAACU
RNAcentral lists this ribosomal RNA (287 nucleotides) under uncultured bacterium. RNAcentral describes it as "partial 16S ribosomal RNA". It matches the Rfam family "Bacterial small subunit ribosomal RNA", at positions 773 to 1060 of the family's 1533-position model. The record is from RNAcentral.